Lolium rigidum is the source of this 146-nucleotide long non-coding RNA. RefSeq lists it as uncharacterized. The transcript is spliced from 3 exons. The record is from RefSeq and is a predicted model, not a curated record. Lineage: Eukaryota; Viridiplantae; Streptophyta; Magnoliopsida; Poales; Poaceae.
UACAUGAUUCAAGAGAAAAGAGAAAAGUGAAGAACAUGAUGAGUUGAUGGCAAAGAAAUCCAGGUUGGCAUACACCCGAAAAAGAUGGAAAUUAGGCAGGACACGCACAGUUCCGAAAAACACUCUGGCUCAUCGUGACUUCUUUA